Molecule: ribosomal RNA, 423 nt
Filed under: uncultured bacterium
Lineage: Bacteria
Description: bacterial SSU rRNA
Rfam family: Bacterial small subunit ribosomal RNA
Source: RNAcentral
AAGACCUUGCGCUUUUGGAGCGGCCGAUGUCUGAUUAGCUUGUUGGUGAGGUAAAGGCUUACCAAGGCUUCGAUCAGUAGCUGGUCUGAGAGGACGGCCAGCCACACUGGGACUGAGACACGGCCCAGACUCCUACGGGAGGCAGCAGUGGGGAAUUUUGGACAAUGGGGGCAACCCUGAUCCAGCCAUGCCGCGUGAGUGAAGAAGGCCUUCGGGUUGUAAAGCUCUUUCAGCCGGAACGAAACGGUUACGGUUAAUACCCAUGACUACUGACGGUACCGGAAGAAGAAGCACCGGCUAACUACGUGCCAGCAGCCGCGGUAAUACGUAGGGUGCGAGCGUUAAUCGGAAUUACUGGGCGUAAAGCGUGCGCAGGUGGUUUUGUAAGUCAGAUGUGAAAGCCCCGGGCUCAACCUGGGAACU